GCGCCUGUAGCUCACAUGGACAGAGCACCUGCCUUCUAAGCAGGUCGUAGCAGGUUCGAUUCCUGCCAGGCGCACCA
RNAcentral lists this transfer RNA (77 nucleotides) under Candidatus Omnitrophota bacterium. Its description in RNAcentral is "Candidatus Omnitrophica bacterium tRNA-Arg". It matches the Rfam family "tRNA". Rfam says of the family: Transfer RNA (tRNA) molecules are approximately 80 nucleotides in length. Their secondary structure includes four short double-helical elements and three loops (D, anti-codon, and T loops). The record is from RNAcentral. Lineage: Bacteria; Pseudomonadati; Candidatus Omnitrophota.